Molecule: ribosomal RNA, 808 nt
Filed under: uncultured bacterium
Lineage: Bacteria
Description: bacterial SSU rRNA
Rfam family: Bacterial small subunit ribosomal RNA
Source: RNAcentral
AGUCGAGGGGUAUAGUUUUUCGGAACUAGAGACCGGCGCACGGGUGCGUAACGCGUAUGCAAUCUACCUUUCACAGAGGGAUAGCCCAGAGAAAUUUGGAUUAAUACCUCAUAGUAUUAUUGAGUGGCAUCACUUAAUAAUUAAAGUCACAACGGUGAAAGAUGAGCAUGCGUCCCAUUAGCUAGUUGGUAAGGUAACGGCUUACCAAGACUACGAUGGGUAGGGGUCCUGAGAGGGAGAUCCCCCACACUGGUACUGAGACACGGACCAGACUCCUACGGGAGGCAGCAGUGAGGAAUAUUGGUCAAUGGGCGCAAGCCUGAACCAGCCAUGCCGCGUGCAGGAUGACGGUCCUAUGGAUUGUAAACUGCUUUUAUACGAGAAGAAACACUCCUUCGUGAAGGAGCUUGACGGUAUCGUAAGAAUAAGGAUCGGCUAACUCCGUGCCAGCAGCCGCGGUAAUACGGAGGAUCCAAGCGUUAUCCGGAAUCAUUGGGUUUAAAGGGUCCGUAGGCGGUUUGGUAAGUCAGUGGUGAAAGCCCAUCGCUCAACGGUGGAACGGCCAUUGAUACUGCCAGACUUGAAUUACUGGGAAGUAACUAGAAUAUGUAGUGUAGCGGUGAAAUGCUUAGAGAUUACAUGGAAUACCAAUUGCGAAGGCAGGUUACUACCAGUGGAUUGACGCUGAUGGACGAAAGCGUGGGUAGCGAACAGGAUUAGAUACCCUGGUAGUCCACGCCGUAAACGAUGGAUACUAGCUGUUGGGGGCAACCUCAGUGGCUAAGCGAAAGUGAUAAGUAUCCCACCU